This 253-nucleotide ribosomal RNA is filed under the name uncultured bacterium. RNAcentral's name for it is "partial 16S ribosomal RNA". It matches the Rfam family "Bacterial small subunit ribosomal RNA", at positions 524 to 776 of the family's 1533-position model. The record is from RNAcentral.
UACGAAGGGGGCUAGCGUUGUUCGGAAUUACUGGGCGUAAAGGGCGCGCAGGCGGUGUGUCAAGUCAGGCGUGAAAGCCCCGGGCUCAACCUGGGAACCGCGCUUGAGACUGGCACGCUCGAGUUCGGGAGAGGAUGGUGGAAUUCCCAGUGUAGAGGUGAAAUUCGUAGAUAUUGGGAAGAACACCGAUGGCGAAGGCAGCCAUCUGGACCGACACUGACGCUGAGGCGCGAAAGCGUGGGGAGCAAACAGG